CAUUGGUCAAAGUCAUUCUGUUGAUAAAUAUUUGUCUUUUACCUUCAAAUUAAUCAUGUGUGCCCAUUUCUCUGUGACCACAGACUAAAAAGAAAACAGUUUCAAAGAUGAACAGAAACAUUAUCAUAGUCCUUCUUCUGAUUAUAGGUAAGUUCAUUCUCUAGUCUUUAAAUUGUAGAUCAUUAUGAAAUUCUAAAAGAUAUUCUAAAAUCUAUGCUUUUUUAUUUGCAACAGCAUCAGGGAAUGCCCAAAGCCCAACAACGAAUGCCCCCACAACCACAGCUGCCACCACAACACUGCUGCCGGUCACAACAACCACAGCUGCUUCGACUACAACAACAGCAGCAACCACCACAAUCACAGGAGCUGCCAUCACAACCCCUACUGCUCCUACUACAUCCAUAUCUCCUGUCAUGACAACCACAGAUGCUCCAACUACAACCACAAAUGGAGUCACAACAUCCACAGUUUCUCCCACAACAAUCACAGCUGCUGCCACAACAACCACAGAUGCUCCAACUACAACCACAGCUACUGCUGCAACACCAACCACAGCUGCUGCCACGACAACCACAGAUGCUCCAACUACAACAACAAAUGGAGUCACAACCACAGUUUCGCCCAAAACAACCACAGGUGCUGCUACGGUCACCACAGCAGGCAUCACAACUACCACAGAUUCUCAUUCAACAACCACAGCUGCUCCAACUACAACCACAGCUACUGCGGCAACACCAACCACAACUGCUGCCACGACAACCACAGAUGCUCCAAUUACAACAACAAAUGGAGUCACAACAACCACAGUUUUUCCCACAACAACCACAGCUGCUUUCACAACAACCACAGGUGCUGCAACCACAACCACAGCUGCCCCCACGACCACCACAGCUGGCAUGACAACUACCACAAUUCCGGUCACAACAACCACAGCUGCUUCGACUACAACAACUGCAGCAACCACCACAAUCACAGGAGCUGCCACCACAACCACUACUGCUCCUACUACAACCACAGCUCAUGUCACGACAACCACAGAUGCUCCAACUACAACCACAAAUGGAGUCACAACAUCCACAGUUUCUCCCACAACAACAACAGCUGCUUUCACAACAACCACAGGUGCUGCAACCACAACCACAGCUGCCCCUACGACCACCACAGCUGGCAUGACAACUUCCACAAUUCCGGUCACAACAACCACAGCUUCUUCGACUUCAACAACAGCAGCAACCACCACAAUCACAGGAGCUGCCACCACAACCACUACUGCUCCUACUACAUCAAUAGCUCCUGUCAUGACAACCACAGAUGCUCCAACUACAACCACAAAUGGUGUCACAACAUCCACAGUUUCUCCCACAACAACCACAGCUGCUGCCACAACAACCACAAGUGCUGCCACCACAACCACAGGUGCCGCCACGGUCACCACAGCAGGCAUCACAGCUACCACAGUUGCUCAUUCAACAUCCACAGCUGCUCCAACUACAACCUCAACUACGUCAAUGAUGACCACCACAGCUCCUGCCAUGACAACGACACCUGCAACUGCUGGAGCAGCCACCUUAACCACAGUUGCUGUCAUGACAACCACAGAUAAUCCAACUACAACCACAAAUGGAGUCACAACAUCCACAGUUUCUCCCACAACAACCACAGUUUCUCCCACAACAACCACAGGUGCUGCCACCACAACCACAGGUGCUGCUACGGUCACCACAGCAGGCAUCACAACUACCACAAUUGCUCAAUCAACAACCACAGCUGCUCCAACUACAACCUCAACUACGUCCAUGGUGACCACCACAGUUCCUGCCAUGACAACGACACCUGCAACGGCUGCCGCUGCAACCACAACCACAGUUGCUGCAACAAUGACCACAGGUGCUCCAACUACAACAACAGCUACUGCUGCAACCACAACCACAGCUGCACCCACGGCCACCACAGCUGGCAAGACAACUACCACAAUUCCGGUCACAACAACCACAGCUGCUUCGACUGCAACAACUGCAGCAACCACCACAAUCACAGGAGCUGCCACCACAACCACUACUGCUCCUACUACAACCACAGCUCAUGUCACGACAACCACAGAUGCUCCAACUACAACCACAAAUGGAGUCACAACAUCCACAGUUUCUCCCACAACAAUCACAGCUGCUGCCACAACAACCACAGAUGCUCCAACUACAACAACAAAUGGAGUCACAACCACAGUUUCUCCCACAACAACCACAGGUGCUGCUACGGUCACCACAGCAGGCAUCACAACUACCACAGAUUCUCAUUCAACAACCACAGCUGCUCCAACUACAACCACAGCUACUGCUGCAACACCAACCACAGCUGCUUCCACGACAACCACAGAUGCUCCAAUUACAACAACAAAUGGAGUCACAACAACCACAGUUUUUCCCACAACAACCACAGCUGCUUUCACAACAACCACAGGUGCUGCAACCACAACCACAGCUGCCCCCACGACCACCACAGCUGGCAUGACGACUACCACAAUUCCGGUCACAACAACCACAGCUGCUUCGACUACAACAACUGCAGGAACCACCACAAUCACAGGAGCUGCCACCACAACCACUACUGCUCCUACUACAACCACAGCUCAUGUCACGACAACCACAGAUGCUCCAACUACAACCACAAAUGGAGUCACAACAUCCACAGUUUCUCCCACAACAACAACAGCUGCUUUCACAACAACCACAGGUGCUGCAACCACAACCACAGCUGCCCCUACGACCACCACAGCUGGCAUGACAACUUCCACAAUUCCGGUCACAACAACCACAGCUUCUUCGACUUCAACAACAGCAGCAACCACCACAAUCACAGGAGCUGCCACCACAACCACUACUGCUCCUACUACAUCAAUCGCUCCUGUCAUGACAACCACAGAUGCUCCAACUACAACCACAAAUGGUGUCACAACAUCCACAGUUUCUCCCACAACAACCACAGCUGCUGCCACAACAACCACAAGUGCUGCCACCACAACCACAGGUGCCGCCACGGUCACCACAGCAGGCAUCACAGCUACCACAGUUGCUCAUUCAACAUCCACAGCUGCUCCAACUACAACCUCAACUACGUCAAUGAUGACCACCACAGCUCCUGCCAUGACAACGACACCUGCAACUGCUGGAGCAGCCACCUUAACCAUAGUUGCUGUCAUGACAACCACAGAUAAUCCAACUACAACCACAAAUGGAGUCACAACAUCCACAGUUUCUCCCACAACAACCACAGUUUCUCCCACAACAACCACAGGUGCUGCCACCACAACCACAGGUGCUGCUACGGUCACCACAGCAGGCAUCACAACUACCACAGUUGCUCAAUCAACAACCACAGCUGCUCCAACUACAACCUCAACUACGUCCAUGGUGACCACCACAGUUCCUGCCAUGACAAUGACACCUGCAACGGCUGCCGCUGCAACCACAACCACAGUUGCUGCAACAAUGACCACAGGUGCUCCAACUACAACAACAGCUACUGCUGCAACCACAACCACAGCUGCCCCCACGGCCACCACAGCUGGCAAGACAACUACCACAAUUCCGGUCACAACAACCACAGCUGCUUCGACUUCAACAACAGCAGCAACCACCACAAUCACAGGAGCUGCCACCACAACCACUACUGCUCCUACUACAACCACAGCUCAUGUCACGACAACCACAGAUGCUCCAACUACAACCACAAAUGGAGUCACAACAUCCACAGUUUCUCCCACAACAACCACAGCUGCUGCCACAGCAACCACAGAUGCUCCAACUACAACAACAAAUGGAGUCACAACAACCACAGUUUCUUCCACAACAACCACAGGUGCUGCCACCACAACCACAGGUGCCGCCGCCACAACCACAGGUUCCUCCACCACAACCACAGGUACCGCCACGGUCACCACAGCAGGCAUCACAACUACCACAGUUGCUCAUUCAACAACCACAGCUACUCCAUUUACAACCUCAACUACGUCCACAGAUGCUCUAACUACAAACACUGUUGGCGUUGCAAAAACCACAGCUUCACCAACUACAACUACAGCUGCUUCCUCUACAACCACAGCUGCUGCCACUUCAACCACAACAGCUGCUCCCACAACUACAGCUGCCACCACAAUAACCACAGAUUCUCUAACUACAAACACAGCUACUGCCACAUCAACAACUUAUCCAACUACAACCACAGUAGCUUCCUCUGCAACCACACCUUCUGCCACAACAACUAUACCUGCUGCCACUAUUACCACAGCUGUUCAAACUGCAACCAACGCAGCAGCCAACACAACCACAGCAGCUGCCACAACAACCAUAGUUGCUGCCACGACAACCACAGCAUCUCCAACUACAAUCACAGCUGACAAAACAACAACCACAUCUUCUGCCCCAACAACUACAGCUGCUUCCUCUACAACCACAGCUGCCUCCUCUACAACCACAGCUGCUUCCUCUACAACCACAGCUGCUUCUUCUACAACCACAGCCGCUUCCUCUACAACCACAGCUGCUUCCUCUACAACCACAGCUGCUUCCUCUACAACCACAACUGCUUCCUCUACAACCACAACUGCUUCCUCUACAACCACAGCUGCUUCCUCUACAACCACAGUUGCUGCCGCAACAACUAUACCUGCUCCCACAACAACCACAGCAGAUGCCACCACAACCACAGCUGCUCCAUCUACAUCCGGAAAUGCCCUCACAACAACCACAGAUGCUCCAACCACAACAGACACAAACACAACCACAGCUGCUGCCACGGCAACAACUGCUUCUCCAACUAGAACCACAGCUGCUUCCACUACAACCACAGCUGCUUCCACUACAGCCAUAGGUGCUGCAACGACAACCACAGCAGCUGCCCCUACAACAACAGCUGCUCCAACUACAACCACAAAUGCCCCCACCACAUCCACAGCUGGCAACAGGACUACCACAGUUGCUACUACAACAGGCACAGCUGCGUCUACAACAGCCAGAGCUACUACAGCAAUAGCUGCCACUACCACCACUGCUGCUGGAACGAAUACCACAACUGCUUCGACUACAGCCACAACUUCUGCGACGACAACCACAGCUGCUGCCACAAACACCACUGUACCAACAACAACCAAAAUUGUUCCCACAACCACCACAGCCACCGCUACCACAACUACGUCAACAGCGGCACCGACAGCGAAUGAGGGGUCAAUGGGAUUAGGAUUCAGAAUGAUCCGUGCAUUCCAAAGUGACUAUACUGAUUCUUCCACAGCAGCAUAUCAGGAACUGGCAGAAAAUGUUACCACAGAGGUGAAUCAUGGUUACAAAAGAAUUUACCCUUUAACAUACGUAAGGUGUAGGAUUAUUCAGUUCACGUAAGUAACAAUAAUUGUUUUCUGUAAGUCUGUGAAUCUCUCCAUUCAAAUAGAAUUAUCUUGAAAUAACAGUGAUAUAAGUUUGAAUAAUAUAUUAAGAAAACAAAUACAAAUAAUUACCAUACAUUGUCUUGUUUUCUUAAUACUUUCUUGGAAACAAUGGUUUUAGUCCGUCAUUGGAAAUAAGAAUUUGUUCUUAACUGACUUGCCUAGUUGAAUAAAGGUAAAAAAAAAAAAAAAAAAGAUCUGACCUCGAAAUGAAAACUAAAUCUUUCUAUAUUUCAUUGUUUACAGGAGAGGGUCAAUUAUUGUCAACAUGACCCUUAUUUUCAAAAACCAGACAGUGGUUCCCAAUGUAACGAGUGUGGAGCAGGGAUUGAAUGACUCUCUGUCUCACGGGAACACCUUCCUCGACAUUGAUACAACCUCCAUUACUGCAAGUAAGUCAAGCCAUCACUGCUGACCUUGUCAUUGUCGUCACUCUCAACAUUGACUCAUGGCACUCUAUAUUGGGUACAUUUUUAUGAGAUAACUUCUGUGGUGUUACAGGAACUACAACUUCUGCAGCCACCACAUUUGCCGCAACUACCACAGCCACCCCCACAACAACAAAAACAGCUGGUCCUACACCAAACACAGCUGCUUCAACAACAUCUGUUGUUGAAUCAACAAUAAACAAUGCUGCCGCCUCCAGUGGAAUAACCUACAAGACAAGUCUACUCAUCUGUCUUGUUAUGUUGUCACAACUGCUUGACUAAUACUGAUAUAACUGAUCACCACUAUGACAGGGAAACUUACCAACAAUGUAAUCAUAUUUAUUAUUAGAACUGUAUACAAUCUAUUGAACAGCUUGAGGAUAAUGUAAAAAAAAAGAUAACUGUUCUACCAAUUAUCAACAGGAUUUUAAGAAUCUUGAUAGUUAUUCCUUCUACUUACUGUACUAAUACUUAUUGUAACUGAAUGGUGUAUUUAUACUGUUUUGUAAUUCACUAUUACUCAUACUUUGAAUGAAGAAAAUGCUGGUUUCGUUUUCUGUACCGGAUUAAUGAAGAAAUUAAAUGAAAUGCAAUCCAUUACCUGAAAAGACGUUCACUUCCCUUAAGUUACAUUUCAAUAAUUAUUAUUGUGUGCCAACUGCAUCUGUUAUGUCUUGUUCACAUACAACAUAAACACCACUUUAUUUCUAUGAUAGGAAUGAGAUAUGAAUAUCAGAAGAUCGAUUUCAAGCCGAACAGGACAUUUGUUUACAAUGGCAACAACACCAAAAAGACACUGGCUAUGAUAAGUUUGGACAGUAAUCGCAGAAAGGGCAUUUCUAAAUUCAUGAAUAUCUGAAGGUAUAUUUCAUAGGUCGAAAUUCAUUAAAAUAUUAGACUGGCUGUAAUAUGUUACUGGGUGUUUGUGAAGUGAAAUAUGUUGUCAACACACUUUAAAAAUGGGAUAAACAAGAUUAGUCCUUUCAGAUAUAAUUUUUUGUUCCGCUUACCUAUCUCAUUGUUCAUCUCCUAUAGUCUUGAGGGAGGGCUUUGAACACACCUCAACCAUUUUUUUGUCACCCUGAUUUCGCCAAUUGUGUAUCUAUGUAUUUCUCUGCUAGAGUUGAAGUAUUAGAGAGAGGCCUUACAGACAUUAUAAAACCAGUGUAUCUCUCAUGUACACAAAACUGUGUCACAUAUCACAUCAAGGCAGAAAGAUUAACAUAUUUUGGUGGCAAAUAAAGGCCUAAGCACAAAAAAGGUUCAUGCUAUGCUAACUGAAUGGUGAUCUGAGAGUAUGUUGUUAAUUUAUAGGUAAUUUAACUUCAGGCUCUUUGUAGAAGGUAUCAACCUCAGAAAAAUAACCAUGAAGGGACUUUCAACCUCAACCCAUCCAUUAAAAAUACCAUGCCUAAAUAUAAUUAUUUGCAGACUUGAUUGAAUUGAUACAGGACUUGGUAAAUAUUCUUCAUUCAUUAGUGAGAGGGAACUACAACGCACAAGGCAAUGUUUAAUAG
Molecule: long non-coding RNA, 7379 nt
Filed under: Oncorhynchus mykiss (rainbow trout)
Lineage: Eukaryota; Metazoa; Chordata; Actinopteri; Salmoniformes; Salmonidae
Description: lncRNA (ENSOMYG00000075431.1)
Source: RNAcentral